Molecule: ribosomal RNA, 648 nt
Filed under: uncultured prokaryote
Description: bacterial SSU rRNA
Rfam family: Bacterial small subunit ribosomal RNA
Source: RNAcentral
GAUGAACGCUGACAGAAUGCUUAACACAUGCAAGUCGAUUCGAUUUACCUUCGGGUAUUGAGGAUGGCGGACGGGUGAGUAACGCGUAAGGAACUUGCCUCUUGGUCUGGGACAACUGUUGGAAACGACAGCUAAUACCGGAUAUUAUGAGAUUCUCGCAUGGGAAACUUAUGAAAGCUAUAUGCGCCAAGAGAGAGCCUUGCGUUCCAUUAGCUAGUUGGUGGGGUAACGGCCCACCAAGGCGACGAUGGAUAGCCGGCCUGAGAGGGUGAACGGCCACAAGGGGACUGAGACACGGCCCUUACUCCUACGGGAGGCAGCAGUGGGGAAUAUUGGACAAUGGGCCACAAGCCUGAUCCAGCAAUUCUGUGUGCACGAUGAAGGUCUUCGGAUUGUAAAGUGCUUUCAGUUGGGAAGAAGAAAGUGACGGUACCAACAGAAGAAGCGACGGCUAAAUACAUGCCAGCAGCCGCGGUAAUACGUAUGUCGCAAGCGUUAUCCGGAUUUAUUGGGCGUNAAGCGCGUCUAGGCGGAAAAAUAAGUCUGAUGUUAAAAUGCGGGGCUCAACUCCGUAUUGCGUUGNAAACUGUUUUUCUAGAGUACUGGAGANGUGGGCGGAACUACAAGUGUAGAGGUGAAAUUCGUAGA